CCUAUUUCGUUAUAAAAAUAAAAGGUGCAAGCAGAAGAUAGAACGAGCGACUUAAUAAGUGCUUUGUAUGAUAAGAACCACCUAAGAAACGAAAGGGGAGACAAUAGUAAAAGAAGAAAUAGUUGCAUAGAGUAAAAGACUCAGCCAGUGGGAAAGACCACUCCCACGGUUUUCUAUUGGUAGAGAAGAUCCCAGCCAAAUAGCUGCAUAAAGUAACUGAAUAAAGAACCAAUGCGACAUUGUUUGUUGGUAGAAGAUCAGGUUAAUAGUGCGGGUUCUUACUUGGGACCCUAAUAGACAUUAGUCUGUCGAAAACUUAGGUAAUACAUGGAGGAACUACAACUCAAAUCACUUGAUCACCAGAGUUGGCGCCACCAAUUGGCUUCGGAUGUUUAGAUUGUUUGGAAUGAACCUCCCUUUGAUGAUAUCUGCUGAAUAAUAUGCAAGGAAUAUUUCUCUUUUACAUACAUACAUACAUAUAUACAUACAUACGUAUAUACAUGUAUAUAUAUAUAUAUAUAUAAACUUAAAAAGUUAAAACUUCUUGUAUCCAUUGGGGAUCUGGACCACGUCUUCUGGCCACUCGUAUUAAAAUGUUAGAUCGUACCUUUUCUUAACCAACAAGAUAAUUUCCCUUUUUGUACUAAACCGCUAAUGAAGUCUUAUUUCUUCUUUGGUAAUUACAGGUUCACGCGUCAAAGUCAUUGCAGGUAAUGCUGCAAAGAAAACUAAUGAUCCUUACAUUCUCUGAUCCCAUCAACAAGUGGUGGUUUUCUAUCCUGAUUUCUCAUUCUCUGGUUUCUGCUUGUCAGCCACAUCAUCGACAGCAGCAUUAGUUGUUAUUUUGUUGAUGGUGGCCACUGCACUCUAUCUUUCACUUAAGUCAAGAUAUAAUGAAGAAAUACACUUGAAGGUUCAAAUGUUUCUCAACAAAACCCACAAGGUACACUUUCGCUGAAGUUAAGAAGAUAGCAAGGCUGUUUAAGGAAAAGGUAGGCCAAGGGGGAUUUGGAAGUGUAUACAAAGGCGAGCUACCAAGUGGAGUGCCUGUGGCCGUCAAAAUGCUAGAGAACUCUACAGGAGAGGGAGAUGAAUUCAUCAAUGAAGUUGCAACCAUAGGACUAAUCCACCAUGCAAAUUUUGUGCGCCUCUUGGGAUUUUGCUCUCAAGGAACAAGACGUGCCCUUAUUUAUGAAUUCAUGCCUAACGAGUCAUUGGAGAAAUAUAUAUUCUUGCAUGCUUCUGGAGCAUCUCAACAACUCCUAGUACCAAACAAGCGCAUUGCAAAAAGCGCAUCCUCCACUUUGACAUCAAGCCUCACAACAUCUUGCUGUACUACAAGUUCAACCCAAAGAUCUCAGACUUCGGCCUUGCAAAACUUUGUGCGAGGGAUCAAAGCAUUGUUACCUUGACAACAGCAAGAGGUACUAUGGGCUAUAUUGCACCAGAGUUGUAUUCUCGGAAUUUUGGAGAAGUAUCCUACAAGUCAGAUGUUUACAGUUUUGGCAUGCUGGUGUUAGAAAUGGUAAGUGGGAGGAGGAACUCAGAUCCAGGUGUUGCCAGCCAAAAUGAAGUUUACCUCCCAGAGUGGAUCUUCGAGAAGGUAAUCACGUGGCAUGACUUGGUGCUUGCUCGAGAAAUGACAGGAGAAGAGAGAGAAAAGAUCAGACAGCUAGCCAUUGUGGCUCUGUGGUGCAUUCAAUGGAACCCAAGAAAUCGACCCUCGAUGACAAAGGUGGUGAACAUGUUGACAGGGAGGUUGGAGAACCUACAGAUGCCCCCAAAGCCUUUCAUCUCAUCUGAAAGUCAUCCUGUGCCAUAGAGCAUGGAGAAUACUAUGCCACAUGAUUUAAUGAAUAUUUGAGAGAGAGAUAAACUUAGUUCCUCCUGUGUUGCAUAGUAAUGCAUAGUACUAUAGCAUGUGAUGGUUGUUCAGUCUUUUGACGGGUAUUAGCACAUGACAUAUGAAUAGUAAGAUGUCACCAUGUAAUACUAUUUAUUUGCAAUAUAUCAGAUUUGCAGUUGAUGUAUUCAGUAAUCCGAAGGCAAUAUUUUAAAUUUUCAUAUUCUGUAAUACCAAGUAUGUUCUUCCUCACUGAAUUUCCAGGAAAGAGCAAAUGUGUUCUGUUUUCAAUCAACCAAUAAUUAGUGUUAGAUGGAGAACUCACUGUCAAGAGCAUUCGCAUGUGGUAGAUCAUGCCAUCUCUAUUCCCAGGUGCUACAGGUUUUACAAUGUGAAUGGAUGCGUAAGCAUGGGGUCUGAGACUCUGACCACUAUUCCUACUCGAGAUUUUGCAGAACAAAAAACAAAAGGAAAUCAAGUCGAAGGGCUUACCUUUGCCAGUGCCAAGGAGAAGGCAGAUCUAGGUUGCAUCGAGCUGCCGUGGGUCGGCACUACGGCAGGCCCCCUUGCAAGAGCAGAGAGGCCGGCGACGACGAGAAACAGCAUCGGUGUAGAAUGGUAAAGUAGGGGGAAUCGACAGCGGCGCACUAGGAGAGACGUGACGCUUCCUCCCCGGCGCGUGAUUAGUUACAAGGGAUCGCCGCCCAGUGGCGGCCGCGGCCGCGGCCGGAGCACCGGCGGUGGGAAGAGGCAUCUGUGAUUCGCCGUUUCUAAUAAAAUUGGGCUGGGUUUCGUACUUUUGCGGUGUGUUGGGCUUGAUGGACCAGCCCACUGAAAAUCUCGGAGGUAGGCCCAAGUGUUACCGCCGGAAGCCUGGCCGUAACAGAUAAGGAAUCCUGCUUCUGCAUUUGC
This 2755-nucleotide long non-coding RNA is filed under the name Setaria italica (foxtail millet). RNAcentral's name for it is "long non-coding RNA (SITA_LNC003783)". The record is from RNAcentral. Lineage: Eukaryota; Viridiplantae; Streptophyta; Magnoliopsida; Poales; Poaceae.